AAAAUUGAGUAUGGUUGGGUUAAACAUAACAGCUUGAGUGGAAAGAUGUGUAUUUUUUUAAUUGGCAUUUUAUGUUUGCACAUAAAAGUGUCAUGAUUUGGCUCAGUGCAUUACAAAAAAGAAUUAGGACAUACCAAAGACAAGAAAAACUAAUGCAUUUAAGUGCUUGUUUGAGGUGUGCGUCAGUUUUGUAUGGUUUUCUUAAGGAUCGGAGGAGGAGGCGGGGGUGAAGCUAUGUUGACCAUGGAUGGUCCGUUCACCGAAAAGUUAUAUUACGUAUAAGGUAAAAUAUUAUUAAUUAUUGAUUAAAAAUAGACUUUGAACACCCUUGCAUAAUCCACUGGCAAAGAGCCUUCAAAAUUUAAAAAUCCUUAUUGAAUUUCUUGGCUUCGCAACUGAGUGGAGGGCCCUAAAAGGUUCUUACUCUCAAAAGUUCGGUGAAUGCACAAAAUUGAGAUACAAGAUUGACAUAAGUGCCUAGAAGAGUGGCAAACAUAACUUUGUAUUCUUUUGUCUUUUAAAUUCAAAAUAUAAUUGAAUUUUUUUGCAGAGAUGAGGAAGGGGGGCGUGAACUAGCAGCAUAAACGCAGUCCUCCAACCGUUACAGGGAAGGAUGGGGACAGGACAUCCAAAUGGGACAUGGAAAUCUAUAUAGCAAUCAAGGUAGUAGGUCCCUCUGCUCCCUUACCACCCACCCCCCUUCAUGUUAUUGGAUAUCACCAUCCCCUAAAACUCCCGAAGGUAGUAGGUCCCUGUGCUCCCUCACCACCCACCCCCUUCAUGUUAUUGGAUAUCACCAUCCCCCAAAACUCCCGAAAUUUCAGCCCCAUAAUAAAAUAUGUUCGUUCAUUUUGGACUUGCUAAAGCUGUGUGGUUAUUGGUUGUUGAUUCCUCAUAUAACAAAAAAAGAAAAAAAGAAAAAAAAUGAGAGUAAUGGUAGAGCUCAUACAUUUCGUGGUGAUCUUAAAUGAGUUUGAAGAUUGUGAAAUGAAUGAAGUUAGGAGGACCCCGCUUAUUUACUCUGUCUUUGUCUUUAAAAUUUGUCCUGCAUUCUCAUUAAUGUUUGUGUGCAGGUUGCAGUAUAUGCUAACUAAUGCAUCACUAACAACACAUUCAUUUCCCUAUUGGAGUACUAACCUUUACUUACUUCCACUUGGACAAAAAAUGAAAUUAUAAAAAGAGAAAACGAUAACUACCUUUUUAUAGUUGGCCGCCAACUUUUGAAAUACAAUUGAAAUAUUUUAUGACAAAAAGAUGAGCUCAAAUUUGGAAAUCCUUGAUAGUGGGAAAACUGAAAAAUUGGUGAUGUGCAC
This 1313-nucleotide long non-coding RNA is filed under the name Nicotiana benthamiana. Its description in RNAcentral is "long non-coding RNA (NBEN_LNC027444)". Lineage: Eukaryota; Viridiplantae; Streptophyta; Magnoliopsida; Solanales; Solanaceae. The record is from RNAcentral.